Molecule: ribosomal RNA, 760 nt
Filed under: Prevotella melaninogenica
Lineage: Bacteria; Pseudomonadati; Bacteroidota; Bacteroidia; Bacteroidales; Prevotellaceae
Description: bacterial SSU rRNA
Rfam family: Bacterial small subunit ribosomal RNA
Source: RNAcentral
GAUGAACGCUAGCUACAGGCUUAACACAUGCAAGUCGAGGGGAAACGGCAUUGAGUGCUUGCACUCUUUGGACGUCGACCGGCGCACGGGUGAGUAACGCGUAUCCAACCUUCCCAUUACUGUGGGAUAACCUGCCGAAAGGCAGACUAAUACCGCAUAGUCUUCGAUGACGGCAUCAGAUUGAAGUAAAGAUUUAUCGGUAAUGGAUGGGGAUGCGUCUGAUUAGCUUGUUGGCGGGGUAACGGCCCACCAAGGCUACGAUCAGUAGGGGUUCUGAGAGGAAGGUCCCCCACAUUGGAACUGAGACACGGUCCAAACUCCUACGGGAGGCAGCAGUGAGGAAUAUUGGUCAAUGGACGGAAGUCUGAACCAGCCAAGUAGCGUGCAGGAUGACGGCCCUAUGGGUUGUAAACUGCUUUUGUAUGGGGAUAAAGUUAGGGACGUGUCCCUAUUUGCAGGUACCAUACGAAUAAGGACCGGCUAAUUCCGUGCCAGCAGCCGCGGUAAUACGGAAGGUCCAGGCGUUAUCCGGAUUUAUUGGGUUUAAAGGGAGCGUAGGCUGGAGAUUAAGUGUGUUGUGAAAUGUAGACGCUCAACGUCUGAAUUGCAGCGCAUACUGGUUUCCUUGAGUACGCACAACGUUGGCGGAAUUCGUCGUGUAGCGGUGAAAUGCUUAGAUAUGACGAAGAACUCCGAUUGCGAAGGCAGCUGACGGGAGCGCAACUGACGCUUAAGCUCGAAGGUGCGGGUAUCAAGCAGG